GAUGAACGCUGGCGGCGUGCCUAAUACAUGCAAGUCGAGCGAACGGACGAGAAGCUUGCUUCUCUGAUGUUAGCGGCGGACGGGUGAGUAACACGUGGAUAACCUACCUAUAAGACUGGGAUAACUUCGGGAAACCGGAGCUAAUACCGGAUAAUAUUUUGAACCGCAUGGUUCAAAAGUAAAAGACGGUCUUGCUGUCACUUAUAGAUGGAUCCGCGCUGCAUUAGCUAGUUGGUAAGGUAACGGGUUACCAAGGCAACGAUGCAUAGCCGACCUGAGAGGGUGAUCGGCCACACUGGAACUGAGACACGGUCCAGACUCCUACGGGAGGCAGCAGUAGGGAAUCUGCCGCAAUGGGCGAAAGCCUGACGGAGCAACGGCGCGUGAGAUAUGAAGGUCUUCGGAUCGGAAAACUCUGUUAUUAGGGAAGAACAUAUGUGUAAGUAACUGUGCACAUCUUGACGGUACCGAAUCAGAAAGCCACGGCUAACUACGUG
This 497-nucleotide ribosomal RNA is filed under the name uncultured bacterium. Its description in RNAcentral is "partial 16S ribosomal RNA". It matches the Rfam family "Bacterial small subunit ribosomal RNA", at positions 28 to 507 of the family's 1533-position model. The record is from RNAcentral.